This 27-nucleotide ribosomal RNA is filed under the name Erysiphe sp. TAP05K001. Its description in RNAcentral is "partial 18S rRNA". The record is from RNAcentral. Lineage: Eukaryota; Fungi; Ascomycota; Leotiomycetes; Helotiales; Erysiphaceae.
AGGUGAACCUGCGGAAGGAUCAUUACA